Molecule: ribosomal RNA, 466 nt
Filed under: uncultured bacterium
Lineage: Bacteria
Description: partial 16S ribosomal RNA
Rfam family: Bacterial small subunit ribosomal RNA
Source: RNAcentral
GAUGAACGCUGGCGGCGUGCUUAACACAUGCAAGUCGAACGAUGAAGCCCAGCUUGCCGGGUGGAUUAGUGGCGAACGGGUGAGUAACACGUGAGUAACCUGCCCUUAACUCUGGGAUAAGCCUGGGAAACUGGGUCUAAUACCGGAUAGGAGCGUCCACCGCAUGGUGGGUGUUGGAAAGAUUUAUCGGUUUUGGAUGGACUCGCGGCCUAUCAGCUUGUUGGUGAGGUAAUGGCUCACCAAGGCGACGACGGGUAGCCGGCCUGAGAGGGUGACCGGCCACACUGGGACUGAGACACGGCCCAGACUCCUACGGGAGGCAGCAGUGGGGAAUAUUGCACAAUGGGCGCAAGCCUGAUGCAGCGACGCCGCGUGAGGGAUGACGGCCUUCGGGUUGUAAACCUCUUUCAGUAGGGAAGAAGCGAAAGUGACGGUACCUGCAGAAGAAGCACCGGCUAACUACGUG